GUCCAGACUCCUACGGGAGGCAGCAGUGGGGAAUAUUGGACAAUGGGCGAAAGCCUGAUCCAGCCAUGCCGCGUGUGUGAAGAAGGUCUUCGGAUUGUAAAGCACUUUAAGUUGGGAGGAAGGGUUGUAGAUUAAUACUCUGCAAUUUUGACGUUACCGACAGAAUAAGCACCGGCUAACUCUGUGCCAGCAGCCGCGGUAAUACAGAGGGUGCAAGCGUUAAUCGGAAUUACUG
RNAcentral lists this ribosomal RNA (235 nucleotides) under Mesorhizobium sp. RNAcentral's name for it is "partial 16S ribosomal RNA". It matches the Rfam family "Bacterial small subunit ribosomal RNA", at positions 329 to 556 of the family's 1533-position model. The record is from RNAcentral. Lineage: Bacteria; Pseudomonadati; Pseudomonadota; Alphaproteobacteria; Hyphomicrobiales; Phyllobacteriaceae.